This 1436-nucleotide long non-coding RNA is filed under the name Bemisia tabaci. RNAcentral describes it as "lncRNA ENSSSA3NGG004580". Lineage: Eukaryota; Metazoa; Arthropoda; Insecta; Hemiptera; Aleyrodidae. The record is from RNAcentral.
UUAAGAGGCUUGGCUCUCGAUUUAAGCAAAAAUCCGAUUGAAUCGAGAGUAUUUUUUCUUGUCAAUGUUUUCAAGAGUCUGGACUCUAGAUCCAAUGUGUUUUUUUUCCAGUGUUCUUUGAUGUGAUUUAUUUGGUAUUGCAAGGUGUUUAAUCUGAUUUUUGUCGCGGUGUUUCAGAUGCAGCUUACCAAGGCUGCCCUUGUCCAAUCCAGCCGUGUCCAAAAAACGUCCAUACUGGGCCUCUUACUGGUGUUAGUAAGGGGUCUAUGAACAACUCUUCAAACACCCUACCUCCACUGGGACUGGCCCUGCCGAAGGAGCCGCCGUGCGCGGGAGCCUCGGGCCCGCCGAGCCCGGCCCGGGGCAGCGCCGGCAUGGCCCCGCCGCCCACCUCCGUGGCCACCGCCAGGAACCCCCUGAACCAGCUCAACCAGCAGCCCUGGAGUGGCGCCCCCACCCCCGCCGCCACCACCACCACCACCACCUCCACCGAGACCCAGAAGACCGAGGCCCCGAGACCGGGCUCCUCACCAUCAGCAGGGUCCUCUCCGACUGCAUCUCCAACAACUUCGCCGAGCCUAGAACCGAUCUCAAGCAAGAGGAAGAGAUCUACCCCAGCACCCUCAAAGAGGUGCCGGCUGUGAACCUCCAAGUUAGCCAGGAGGAAAAACCUAGUAAUUCAAGUAGCAACCGCAAGCGGAAGAAAAGCCCUGAGAAAGACAACGGUAAGGUGAAAAACUGAACAACCAAGUAGAGGUUAAAACUGAGGAGGUCCUCAAGCAUCGCAUUGAAAACCUCACCAAUGGCCCGGUAAUUAACAAUGAUCUCAGCAAAGGCCCGAAGUUAAACAACCAGUGUCUGAGCAGCACAUUGAGCAACAAACUGCUAAAAAUUACUAAAAGUCUUAAGAGUAAGCUGGAGUCGACAAAAACGGACUCCAGUGAAACGUCUUCGACGAAAGAGUCAAAGAAAAAGCGAGAACACAUCAAGUCUCGACGGAAAUCCUACAAUCUGCUAACCGCGAGUGGAAACCUUGACCUGGCAGUUGACUCUAAGAAGAGAAGAAAAUCUAUCAAUUCUCUGUCAACAGACCUCAGUUUACAGAAUGUUGACUUCAUAAUCAAGAACUCCGAGCUAAUAUCAUCGACCAUCGACUGUCAUCAGGUGGCGCAAGACCUUGGUAUUGUUGGAGUUGACACCUGUAUGCUCGAGGCUAACAACAAUGACAAGAAUCAAAACUUAAACAAAAUUUCAGCGCUAUCUUUACUAACAUUCAAUUCAAAUUGCAAAAAGAAGAACGGUGCCAAGACGGCAAAAAGCGAGCUUGGUAUCGUUGCCGCCACUGCAGCCGCUGCCCCCUUGGAAAUCCUCCCCCCUCAUACCAAAGAUAAACUUCAAGGGAAAAACUACAAAAGAAAACUUAACUAAUUCUAAAG